Molecule: ribosomal RNA, 330 nt
Filed under: uncultured bacterium
Lineage: Bacteria
Description: bacterial SSU rRNA
Rfam family: Bacterial small subunit ribosomal RNA
Source: RNAcentral
CGCGUAGGUGGUAGUGUAAGUCUGGGGUGGAAUCCCAGGGCUCAACCCUGGAACUGCCUUGGAAACUGCAUUACUUGAGUCAGUGAGGGGAGGGUAGAAUUCCUGGUGUAGCGGUGAAAUGCGUAGAUAUCAGGAGGAAGGCCUGUGGCGAAGGCGGCCCUCUGGCGCUGGACUGACACUGAGGCGCGAAAGCGUGGGGAGCAAACAGGACUAGAUACCCUGGUAGUCCACGCCCUAAACGGUGGGCACUAGGUGUAGGGCUCGUAAGGGUUCUGUGCCGAAGGGAAACCAUUAAGUGCCCCGCCUGGGGAGUACGGCCGCAAGGUUGAA